GCGGGCUUCGCUCCUUGUUGGGGAUUCGGCGGCGGCGGCGGCGCGGGCGCGCGCUUCCUAGUGACGCAGGCGGCGGGGCCGCGCACGCACGGGGCUGGGAGGGCCGGACACUUAUUUGGCGCUCGCGGAGGAGGAAGGCGGGGCCGUGAAAUAAGGCCCGACGGGCCCCGGGGCGCGUGCGCGGACCGACACUGUCAGCUCCUAACGCCGCAGGUUCCUCCUGGUCCCCGAGGCCCCCGGUCGGGCGUUGCCUGCCCCGCGCGGGCGGCCGGGCCGAGGGACGAUGGUCAGUGGACGGACGGCGCCAGGGAGCAGUGCCCACGCGCGGCAGGGCGGUACCUUCAGGCCUCCAGGUGUCAUCGAACACCCUUGUGCUUGCUGUCACCCGCUGCCUGUCUGCAGGAUCCCGGAUUCCGUAUCAGGGGACCGAAAUUAGUCGGAAAAUAGGAAGCAGGUGCUCGCUUGGAUGGAACCCUGACCCUGUGCUCACACUUGUAGGAGGAGGGCUCUGCAGGCCGCCUCCCGGAACGGGAGGUUCCCAAGCCACUGCACUUCGGAGGGGCUGUAAUUAGAGUUGCACAUUCAUUCAGUUCCCAGUAAAGUAGAACGUGCUCCAGCCAGUGAGGAAAAGGUGUUUUUAAAAAUUAGAUUGGCCGAGUGCGGUGGCUCAUGCCUUUUACCUCAACACUUUGGGAGACAAAGGUGGGAGGAUCACCUGUGGCCAGGAGUUCAAGACCAGCCUGGGCAACAGAGCCUGUCUCUGGGGAAGAAUAAAAAAAAAAAUUGAGCCUUUGUCAGUGCUACUAUUUUAUUAUCUGGUAAAUAUGAGAGGGUUCACGCGGUCUAUGUGUGUC
RNAcentral lists this long non-coding RNA (854 nucleotides) under Homo sapiens (human). RNAcentral's name for it is "non-protein coding MHENCR:16". Lineage: Eukaryota; Metazoa; Chordata; Mammalia; Primates; Hominidae. The record is from RNAcentral.